UCGGAUGUGGUGUAUGGCGCACACCCACUGCGAACAGCCAUGAAGUGCGAUUUCAACGGGGAAGCCUGGGUUCGACUCCCAGCAUCCGAA
Molecule: non-coding RNA, 90 nt
Organism: Mycena polygramma
Lineage: Eukaryota; Fungi; Basidiomycota; Agaricomycetes; Agaricales; Mycenaceae
Source: the annotation of a GenBank genome assembly